GAGGGCGCCAGGGUGGGGUGAGAGCAAGAUCAGAAGUCCAGACAUGAAAGCACAAAGGGGAACAACCGAAACAGUAGCAAGACUGGCUUUUUAGCAUGUUUGCUCGCUUUCUCCUUAUUCUGCCAACAAUCAGUCAUAUUUAGCAAAUUCUCUGGCGUGUGUAUUGCAAUGUUUGUUCUAGCAAAAGUUACGGACAAACAAAUAUCACAGAGACUUUGGCAUGUAAAUCUUCACUGUUCAAAUUCUUGGUUGCUAAAUUUCUCCAUCUCUUUCUUGAAAACAGGCACGACAAUUUCUUGUAAGUUGACCAGCACCUUCAGGUUAGAACCCAUCUUUCUUUCUUGCAUUUGCUGAUGAGUUAGGCAAGAAAAAGCAAGGGUCAACACUCCCAAGCAGUUACUUUGAAAGAGGCAAGACAAUAAUUGGACCUCCACCUGAAAUCCAUAGUUGAAUGGCCCACGUGUCUCCAAUCUGUGAAUCCAUUCACUCUUUCCUGCUGUGAUAUAUAGGCUCCAUUGGCCAAUAUAUGUCAAUUAUAACUGAGCAAAACGACAAACAGUAAUUUUCUUGACCAAUGGUGACUAAGUGGCUUUCUGGUUUUGACUUGUACCAAUCUUAUAAAUAGCCAAAGCAACUAUUUCACAGAAAACGGCUAAGUCCGCUAGGAGUUAGUAGUGAGGCAUUGGCUGGAAAACGCGCUCGAGGUGAAUUGAAGGCUCUAGAUCUCCAAAUAGAAUCAUCCAGUGGAAGGGUCUGUUUACCAGUUCCAAAUUACCAUUAGGUUAACUGGUGAUUCAAAUAAGACUGUUGGACUUACUUCACCUUGCUCAGUCGAGGACCUAGAUUCACUUGUAGCCCUGCAAAGCUUGUACCUUUCUCCAAGUAUUUCAGUUUCACUCAUGAUGGAUGCCCCAAAACUUGGGCCAUAUGUAAAUUUUUGUGCCUCACUGGUUCUGUUUCUUUGUUCAGUUCCAGAUUAUGAUAUCUCUGUUGUUGAUUUUAGCAUGAAGAAUGCCACUUAUGCUUUUUUAUCCUUGUAUUCUUUAUGCAAUGACUUGGAAUGUAGCCUGCAUAUAUUCACAAUUCCUGGCUAGGAACAACCCAAAUUGCUGCAUCUCUUUCUCAUCAUUCUAUAAUCAGUAAAUCCCUCCCUGGCCCACUUGUGCUCACAUAUGAAAUUUAAACCAUUCACAGUUGAAUCUUGAUUGAUGUGUAGUGUUGAGUAUAUUGAAUUACUUAUGUUAUUCGAUUGCAAGUCUCAAUCCUCUCAUCUCAUUACACAAACUCAAAAUAUUAAAAA
Molecule: unclassified non-coding RNA, 1300 nt
Filed under: Hevea brasiliensis (rubber tree)
Lineage: Eukaryota; Viridiplantae; Streptophyta; Magnoliopsida; Malpighiales; Euphorbiaceae
Source: RNAcentral